CAGGCUUAACACAUGCAAGUCGAGGGGCAUCAGGAAGAAAGCUUGCUUUCUUUGCUGGCGACCGGCGCACGGGUGAGUAACACGUAUCCAACCUGCCCUUUACUCGGGGAUAGCCUUUCGAAAGAAAGAUUAAUACCCGAUGGCAUAAUGAUUCCGCAUGGUUUCAUUAUUAAAGGAUUCCGGUAAAGGAUGGGGAUGCGUUCCAUUAGGUUGUUGGUGAGGUAACGGCUCACCAAGCCUUCGAUGGAUAGGGGUUCUGAGAGGAAGGUCCCCCACAUUGGAACUGAGACACGGUCCAAACUCCUACGGGAGGCAGCAGUGAGGAAUAUUGGUCAAUGGGCGCUAGCCUGAACCAGCCAAGUAGCGUGAAGGAUGAAGGCUCUAUGGGUCGUAAACUUCUUUUAUAUAAGAAUAAAGUGCAGUAUGUAUACUGUUUUGUAUGUAUUAUAUGAAUAAGGAUCGGCUAACUCCGUGCCAGCAGCCGCGGUAAUACGGAGGAUCCGAGCGUUAUCCGGAUUUAUUGGGUUUAAAGGGAGCGUAGGUGGACUGGUAAGUCAGUUGUGAAAGUUUGCGACUCAACCGUAAAAUUGCAGUUGAUACUGUCAGUCUUGAGUACAGUAGAGGUGGGCGGAAUUCGUGGUGUAGCGGUGAAAUGCUUAGAUAUCACGAAGAACUCCGAUUGCGAAGGCAGCUCACUGGACUGCAACUGACACUGAUGCUCGAAAGUGUGGGUAUCAAACAGGAUUAGAUACCCUGGUAGUCCACACAGUAAACGAUGAAUACUCGCUGUUUGCGAUAUACAGUAAGCGGCCAAGCGAAAGCAUUAAGUAUUCCACCUGGGGAGUACGCCGGCAACGGUGAAACUCAAAGGAAUUGACGGGGGCCCGCACAAGCGGAGGAACAUGUGGUUUAAUUCGAUGAUACGCGAGGAACCUUACCCGGGCUUAAAUUGCAGUGGAAUGAUGUGGAAACAUGUCAGUGAGCAAUCACCGCUGUGAAGGUGCUGCAUGGUUGUCGUCAGCUCGUGCCGUGAGGUGUCGGCUUAAGUGCCAUAACGAGCGCAACCCUUAUCUUUAGUUACUAACAGGUUAUGCUGAGGACUCUAGAGAGACUGCCGUCGUAAGAUGUGAGGAAGGUGGGGAUGACGUCAAAUCAGCACGGCCCUUACGUCCGGGGCUACACACGUGUUACAAUGGGGGGUACAGAAGGCAGCUAGCGGGUGACCGUAUGCUAAUCCCAAAAGCCUCUCUCAGUUCGGAUCGAAGUCUGCAACCCGACUUCGUGAAGCUGGAUUCGCUAGUAAUCGCGCAUCAGCCACGGCGCGGUGAAUACGUUCCCGGGCCUUGUACACACCGCCCGUCAAGCCAUGGGAGCCGGGGGUACCUGAAGUACGUAACCGCAAGGAUCGUCCUAGGGUAAAACUGGUGACUGGGGCUAAGUC
Molecule: ribosomal RNA, 1441 nt
Filed under: uncultured organism
Description: 16S ribosomal RNA
Rfam family: Bacterial small subunit ribosomal RNA
Source: RNAcentral